Coffea eugenioides is the source of this 1098-nucleotide long non-coding RNA. RefSeq lists it as uncharacterized. Lineage: Eukaryota; Viridiplantae; Streptophyta; Magnoliopsida; Gentianales; Rubiaceae. The transcript is spliced from 3 exons. The record is from RefSeq and is a predicted model, not a curated record.
GUACUUGAGUUGAGCCAACCACACACUUGCAUUGACAAUAGUGCUACUCAACGUUUGGUUGGUCUUGAGUCCCUUGAGAAAUUAGAAAUUUCCCUGUGCGAUUCACUCAAGUCGAUUUCAUUCCCCAAGGGAGACAAGUACCUCACUGCCUUGCGCGAAUUAAAAAUUUCCUAUUGCGAUAGGUUUUCCCGCUUGUCCAUCCCCCAGCUAACUGAGUCAGAGUGGGAUUCCACUCCUCGGCCCUCCCUCUCCGCUACUUCUCCUCCUCCUCUUCUACUUCUCGAGAAAUUGAAAGUAGACUGCUGCCCCGAUCUGAUCUCCUUUCCAAUUGAUUUAACCCGAACACCUUCUCUCUCUACCCUGGUCAUAUCAUAUUGUCCCAAAUUAACGGACUUGCCCAAGGGGAAGCUUUGUUCUCUUACAAGCUUGAGAACCUUAUCGAUUGGACCAUUCUCAGAAACCACAGAGUUGCAUUCCUUCCUAUACCUCUUUGAUGCUCUCCCACCACCGCACCCCUACUUCCCCUCCCUUUCGGAAUUAUUUCUGCGUGGAUGGUCUCAUUGGGAAUCUCUGCCCGAGCAACUUCAGGGCCUCUCUGCCCUAACAACUCUUUUUUUAGAAGGUUUUGGAGUGAAAUCAUUGCCCGAUUGGUUUGGGAAGCUUUCGUCACUUGAACGACUUUGUCUCUUGGAUUGUAAAAAGCUAGAGAAUUUACCCUCUCACCAAUCUAUGAGAAGCCUCACCAGACUAAGAAAGCUGGAGAGUGACGGGUGUCCCCUUCUAAAGGAAAGAUGUAAACCAAAGAGCAGCAGUAGCAGCACCACCGAAUCCAAUUCUGAGUGGUCGAAGAUCUCCGGCAUUCCCCAAAUUGAAAUUGAUGAGCAGCAAAUCAGAGGCUAAUCCCCAUUUGAAGCUCAUAAAUAACGUCAGUUUUCCCAAUUAAAGCUACUAGCCUAACUUCUACUCAAUAAUUGAUGCGAACUAUUUUUCCUUCGUCCUGUGCGCUUUUGCUUUCUAGGCGGUUUUGAGUCUAGCUUGAGAGUCUACUCUCAGAUUGAUAAAUUGUGGAAGAAUAUAUGAGGCUGACAACGACAGAUC